This 908-nucleotide unclassified non-coding RNA is filed under the name Zea mays. RNAcentral's name for it is "misc RNA Zm00001eb121800". Lineage: Eukaryota; Viridiplantae; Streptophyta; Magnoliopsida; Poales; Poaceae. The record is from RNAcentral.
CUCGCCUCCUCACCCAACGCCAUCAGCGCUGCCCUCCGCUCCAUCCCUGCAGCGCAGACCUCCGCCACCGUCACCGCCCUUCCUCACCGCGCAAUCACCGCCCUUCCCCACGCGCCUCGGUCGCCAUCCGCGGCAUCACCUUCCUUCCCCAUGCGUCGAGGCCGUCAUCCGCGCCAUCACCUUCCUUCCCCACACGCGCGCCCCCUCCUCCGACGUCGCCAAAUUCCAUCCAUCUCUCAGCGCCGUGGUCUCCCGAUGUGGAUGGGGGAAGGAGGAAUUAACCGAGAGCUUGCUGCCGCAAAGAAGAUUUCUCACAUCUGAGAUCGGGAGAAGAAAGCAUUUUCAAGGAGAAUAGCCGAUCUGUUGAUGUGCUUGGCCUUAAGACUGCUUUUGCAACCUUCAUGGGUUCCAGAGAAGAAAGCGAGGGAAUGGUGCGCCUCCAAGGGCGAUAUUCCAUACUUCGAGACCUCUGCGAAGGAGGACCACAACGUCGACACUGCUUUCCUAUGCAUCGCUAGGCUCGCUUUGGAGCAUGAGCAUGACCAAGACAUUUACUUCAAGACAGUUGUGGAACAAGUCCCGGACACUGAACAGACAAGCGGAUGUGCUUGCUAGGAGCCAGCCAUUUCCUGGAAGGCUGGAACUACGUGGAUGUUACUGAAGGACUGGCCCCCGAUAUGUUUCCCUCCCAUUUUUUCUUUUGAGCUCCAGUAACUUUAUUACUAUUCUGUGUUGCUCUCACUGGAUUUUAGCACUUCUGUAAGUUGUCAUCUUUUAAAGUUAAGAAUUUUUACAUAAGUCUUACACAUCGAACAAAUCCACCAUGUACAUUAAGAUGCAAUGCUUAUCGAACACUCAAGUAUUAUGCUCUUGUAACCUAAAUUAAUCAAAAUUGGGCAAUGAUCAGC